AUAGUAGUGGUGGAGAGUUGAAAUUAAGGUAGAACUCUUAAUGCAAAAUCAAGAAGAUGACGCAAAAAUUUUUGGAAGAAAAAAGCAAGUUACACCCAAGAUGAAUAUUAGAGAGAUCGAUGAUUUGAAGGGUUCAAGCUUAAGUACGAAAAUGUGAUGAUUGAAGGCACUCAAGAAUUUGAGGUAUGCAAUGAUUUAGAGUUAAGGUGGAGAUUGUUAGAAUUAUG
Molecule: unclassified non-coding RNA, 227 nt
Filed under: Hevea brasiliensis (rubber tree)
Lineage: Eukaryota; Viridiplantae; Streptophyta; Magnoliopsida; Malpighiales; Euphorbiaceae
Source: RNAcentral